This 468-nucleotide ribosomal RNA is filed under the name uncultured bacterium. RNAcentral's name for it is "partial 16S ribosomal RNA". It matches the Rfam family "Bacterial small subunit ribosomal RNA", at positions 28 to 507 of the family's 1533-position model. The record is from RNAcentral.
GACGAACGCUGGCGGCGUGCUUAACACAUGCAAGUCGAACGGACAGACCCUGCGCUUGUUGGGUUCUCGUUUGGCGCAAGGGUGAGUAAAACGUGAGUAACCUGCCCUUGACAUUGUGAUAUCUUUAGGAAAAUGCGGCUCAUACCGGAUAUAAGCUCCUGCUGCAUGUUGGUGGUUGGAAAGUGUCGGCGUUUGGGACUGGACUCGCUGCGUAUCCGCUUGUUGGUGGGGUUGUGCCUUACCCAGGCUUUGACGGGUAGCCGGCCUGAGCGGGUGACCGGCGACCUUGGGACCUAGAUGAGGCAGCGACUGCGACGGGAGGCAGCAGUGGGGAAGAUUGCACGAUGGACGGAAGGCUGAUGCAGCAACGCCGCGGGCGGGAUGACGGCCUUAGGAGUGUAAACCGCUUGCGUCUGUGACGAAGCGCGAGUUAAGGUAACGGGUACAGAAGCACCGGCUAAAUACGUG